Molecule: ribosomal RNA, 648 nt
Filed under: Farysia sp. ATT070
Lineage: Eukaryota; Fungi; Basidiomycota; Ustilaginomycetes; Ustilaginales; Ustilaginaceae
Description: LSU rRNA
Rfam family: Eukaryotic large subunit ribosomal RNA
Source: RNAcentral
GCAUAUCAAUAAGCGGAGGAAAAGAAACUAACAAGGAUUCCCCUAGUAACGGCGAGUGAAGAGGGAAGAGCCCAAGAUUGAAAGCUGGCGUCUUUGGCGUCCGCAUUGUAAUCUCAAGAAGCAUUUUCCGCUUCGGACCAAGCCUAAGUCCCUUGGAAAAGGGCAUCGUAGAGGGUGAGAAUCCCGUACAUGGCUUGGAGCGCCCGAGGCUUUGUGAUAUGCAUUCUAAGAGUCGAGUUGUUUGGGAAUGCAGCUCAAAAUGGGUGGUAAAUGCCAUCUAAGGCUAAAUAUUGGGGAGAGACCGAUAGCGAACAAGUACCGUGAGGGAAAGAUGAAAAGAACUUUGAAAAGAGAGUUAAACAGUACGUGAAAUUGCCAAAAGGGAAGGGUAGGAGGUCAGAGAUGCGGCGUGGAAUUCAGCCUUGCUUUUGCUUGGUCUACUUUCCUCAUUGCAGGCCAACGUCGGUUUUGGGCACUGGAGAAUGGUGGGAGGAAUGUGGCACCCCUCGGGGUGUGUUAUAGCCUCCUACUGGAUACAGCGACCGGGACCGAGGAACGCAGCGUACUCGAAAGAGCGGGCCUUCGGGCACCUUUACGCUUAGGGCGUUGGCAUAAUGGCCCUCUACCACCCGUCUUGAAACACGGACC